This 1155-nucleotide long non-coding RNA is filed under the name Chloebia gouldiae (Gouldian finch). RNAcentral's name for it is "Erythrura gouldiae (Gouldian finch) lncRNA (ENSEGOG00005017859.1)". The record is from RNAcentral. Lineage: Eukaryota; Metazoa; Chordata; Aves; Passeriformes; Passeridae.
AUGUGCCGGAAACGCGCCGCGAGCCGGAGCAGCGGGAAGAGGAGGAGGAGGAGGAGGAGGAGGAGGAGGAGGAGGAGGAGGAGCAGCCACGGCCACCGGAACGGCUCCGAAGGGCGCCUUCGGCCUCAGCAUUCCCGGGAAAUUCCCGGGAGAGGCCGAGGAGGAGGAGGAGGAGGAGGAGGAGGAGGAGGAGGAGGAGGAGGAAGGAGGGAAGGACUGGGAGAACAUUCCGGGUUUCUGCUCCAGCAGCGGCGGCGGCGCCGCUUGGAAUCGCUCCGGCAGCGCCUCCAGGCCGGCGCCCUGAGCGGGAAAUGCGGGAUCAGGCAGGGAAUUCCCGGCCCAAAAUUCCUUUUGGAAUUCCCAUCCCAAAAUUCCUUUGAAAUCCCAUCCCAAAAUCUCUUUGGAUCCCAAAAUCCUUUUGGAUCCCGAAAUCCCUUUGGAAUCCCCAUCCAAAAUCCCUUUGGAAUUCCCAUCCCCAAAUCCCUUUGGAAUCCCAGCCGAAAAUCCCUUUGGAUCCCAAAAUCCUUUUGGACUCCGAAAUCCCUUUGGAAUUCCCAACCCAAAAUCCCUUUGGAAUCCCAUCCCAAAAUGCCUUUGAAAUCCCAUCCCAAAAUUCCUCCGGAGCCCAAAAUCCUUUUGGAAUCCCAUCCAGAAACUCCUUUGGAAUCCCAUCCCAAAAUCCCUUCCCAGUCCCAAAAUCCCUUUGGAAUUCCCGGCCCAAAAUCCCUUUCGAAUCCCAUCCCAAAAUUCCUUUGGAUCCCAAAAUCCCUUUGGAAUUCCCAUCCCAAAAUCUCUUUGGAAUCCCAUCCCAAAAUCUCUUUAGAAUUCCCAUGCCAAAAUCCCUUUGGAAUCCCAUCCCAAAAUUCCUUUGGAAUCCCAACCCAAAAUCCCUUUGAAAUCCCAUCCCAAAAUCCCUUCGGAGCCAAAAUCCUUUUGGAAUCCCAUCCAGAAACUCCUUUGGAAUCCCAUCCCAAAAUUCCUCCGGAGCCCAAAAUCCCUUUGGAAUCCCAUCCAGAAAUUCCUUUGGAAUCCCAUCCAAAAAUCCCUUUGGAAUCCCAGCCCAAAAUCCCUUCAGAAUCUCAGCCCAAAAUCCCUUUGGAAUCCCAUCCCAAAACCCCUUUGGAUCACAAAAUCCCUUUGGAAUUCCCAACCCAA